AUGGGGGGUCAUGAUCUGCUGCGGAUUUUGGUCACUGUGCUGUUCGUGUUGGCUUAUGUGGUGGUUUUGGCAGUAAACGCUCUGGCUGGUUCGGGGAAAGGUCCAUUCUUAAGAAGUACCGGUAAUGUGUCAGGGCUGUAUGAGACGGAGAUCACCCCUGCUGGUUGGGCCUUCUCCAUAUGGGGAUUCCUCUACACCUGGCUCCUCCUCAUGAACAUAUAUAUUGUCACCUGGUUCUGUAGACGGACCUCAACUGGAUGGAUGUAUUGCAGUCCUGCUAUUCUUCCUUAUGGGUUUUUUAUCUCCUGGGUGGUGAACAUGAUUCUGAACUGCGCCUGGCUCCUCCUGUGGGACAGAGAGUUAAUGAUCCCAGCGCUUGUAGUGUUGGCUCUGAUUGCGUUUACCAACUACUUCAUCAUCUACUUCUCCUGUGUUGGCCUGCAAGCGCAUGGAGCCAGGCUCAAACAGAACCACCCCGCUGACCUCUGCUGCAUCCGUGUUCUGGUUCAGAAUGGUAUUGCUGCCUAUGCCACAUGGACUACAAUAGCCACGCUCCUCAACUUGGCCGUGGUGCUUGGUCUUGGAUCAGUGUCGCCAACAAAUGCUGGCACUGUUUCUCUGUGCCUUCUCCUGCUAGAAGUGAUUGUGUGGUUUGCUGUGGAGAACUUUGUGGUGGAGAAGCAUGUCCGCUACAUUCUGAGUGUUUACCCCGUCGUCAUCUACGCUCUGAUUGGAAGCUUGAGCAGACACUACGACCCUGCAGCUCCAGGCAGGAACGCAGUCUUUACAGCUGUUCUCCUGUCUCUGGCCUGUAUCUUGUUCAUUGCGCGUGUGGUGCUGGUGAUUUGGAGACACCGUACUCAGCCUCUGUUCCAGGACGGGGUAGCUGAGGGGCUGAUGAGACCUGUCAGCACUACAGACAAGUAGCAGCACAGGGUAUACUGUACAUUACUCUAAACAUGAAGCACCACUCCACUUGCCAAAGUAUUUACUGCGGAAUGUGUUCAAAAUAUACAUGUUUUUUUUUUGACUGGUCAAAUCAUACAGUAUAUCAGUGCCCACCCACACACUCAUACACUAACACCACCAAACAGCUCCAACAGUUAAACAACACCUAAAGAAAACCUCACGUCUCCAUGUAUUACUCCACCACAUACAGGUAACCUAGCAACGAUGCAGCGCUUACAAGCCAAACAGCACAGCUACAAACAGAGCAGCAAUGGAAUUAUUUUAUCUUGUGGAGUGUUUAAAGCCUAACAGCUCGUCUUUUCUCAUCCUUUUUAACUCAAUCUAUCUAAUCUAUCAAUAAACAGUUAUAAUGGAACUGUGCUAUAAUCGCA
Molecule: long non-coding RNA, 1340 nt
Filed under: Astyanax mexicanus (Mexican tetra)
Lineage: Eukaryota; Metazoa; Chordata; Actinopteri; Characiformes; Acestrorhamphidae
Description: lncRNA (ENSAMXG00005000838.1)
Source: RNAcentral